UUCGACGCAACGCGAAGAACCUUACCAGGGCUUGACAUCCCCUGACCGCGUAUGAAAGUACGUUUUCACCCUCGGGUGACAGGGAGACAGGUGGUGCAUGGUUGUCGUCAGCUCGUGUCGUGAGAUGUUGGGUUAAGUCCCGCAACGAGCGCAACCCCUACGUUUAGUUGCUAACGCGUGAAGGCGAGCACUCUAGACGAACUGCCGUUGACAAAACGGAGGAAGUGGGAUGACGUCAAAUCAUCAUGCCCCUUAUGUUCUGGGCUACACACGUGCUACAAUGGCCGGUACAGACGGACGCAAAGCCGCGAGGUGGAGCAAAUCCUAAAAGGCCGGUCUCAGUUCGGAUUGCAGGCUGCAAUUCGCCUGCAUGAGGUCGGAAUCGCUAGUAAUCGCAGGUCAGCAUACUGCGGUGAAUACGUUCCCGGGCCUU
This 433-nucleotide ribosomal RNA is filed under the name uncultured Pelotomaculum sp. Its description in RNAcentral is "bacterial SSU rRNA". It matches the Rfam family "Bacterial small subunit ribosomal RNA", at positions 950 to 1382 of the family's 1533-position model. The record is from RNAcentral. Lineage: Bacteria; Bacillati; Bacillota; Clostridia; Eubacteriales; Desulfotomaculaceae.